This 372-nucleotide unclassified non-coding RNA is filed under the name uncultured bacterium. RNAcentral's name for it is "contains 16S-23S intergenic spacer region". The record is from RNAcentral.
UCCGAGUUGACCCCGGCAGUCUCCUACGAGUCCCUGGCAUUACCCGCUGGCAACAUAGGACAAGGGUUGCGCUCGUUGCGGGACUUAACCCAACAUCUCACGACACGAGCUGACGACAGCCAUGCACCACCUGUGCAGGCUCCCGAAGGAGCGCCGGCUUUCACCGGUUUCACCCUGCAUGUCAAGCCCUGGUAAGGUUCUUCGCGUUGCAUCGAAUUAAGCCACAUGCUCCACCGCUCGUGCGGGCCCCCGCCAAUUCCUUUGAGUUUUAGUCUUGCGACCGUAGUUCCCAGGCGGAUCACUUAAUGCGUUAGCUGCGGCACCGAGGCAAAGCCCCAACACCUAGUGAUCAUCGUUUAUGGCUAAGACUAC